UUGUACAACUAUCAAUGUCUCCGGCUUCAUCUCUGUCCCUCUCCUCCUCCUCCUCCGGCGUCAUCUAUCUCUAGCGUAUUUCAAUCGAUUUUGGGGCUUCGUAUUGCUGCUGUCUGAAGUCAACACGACCUUUUUAGGGCGUCAUUCGACCAUUUUGGGGAUUCAUUUCUGUGGAGGUUGGAGAUGCACGUGUAAUUCAAACUGGUUCAAUACUUGCAAACAUCUGAAGUUCAGAGUUCAAGUUCUCAGAGGUGAAUUUCCAUCUGCAAUGUAAGAAAACAUUACUCCUUGAAUGUUUCCAGCACUAGGAGAACCAUCUUCCAGAUUAAUGAACCUUCUGUACUUUCCAAGCUGUACAAGUUUAUUAUGUAAGGGAUAUGGGGGAACAUAAUUGGAUUGUUGUUCAAAGGUCACAGCCUCGGAAUUUUUAUGAAAUGCAUGUUGAAGAAUCCAAAGAUAAUGAACCAUAUCAACAAAAUGAGCCACUAAUUGGACACUGUCUAACCCAGGCUGUGAAUGCAAACGAAGAAGCCUUUCCAAUACUUAGAAGUGACAUCCUACCAGAGGUUGCAUAUAUGAAGAAGGUGCAUCAUGACACCAGCGAGGAGAGGUAUGAGGGGAAAAAAGAAAGGGAAGGGAAAACAAAUAGUACUUGCAACUUAUGAUGAUGACAGAGCUUUUAUAAUUUGAAGUGUUGAUUUGUAAUUAACACAAAUUUUGGAUCACUGCUCCUGCAAAUCCUUGUAUAUCCUUUUGGACAUUAUUUUGUCUUUUCCCUUAUAAUCACCAACUAUGAUAUCUUCUCUCGUUCUCGUCUUUUUUAUUCAAUACCUGCUUUACUUUGGGUUUGUAGGUAUUGUCUUUUCUUAAACCAUCCCUAAAAGAUAAUAAUACUGAAAUAUGAAUACUAAAUCAACCAAGGAAAUGUUGAAUUAAAGUAGAGCUAACUCAACUUAGAGAUUAACAUCUUUCCGCUUUCUUCUCUGACUUACCCUUGACAAUAUCUAACUCACACUAUUGUAAGAAUGAUAUGAAUGGUGAAAUCGUGGUGCUUUACUGGUAACUGUUCGAGAAAAUUAAGAAACCAUUUCAGUGGAUAAAAUUCUCAACUGAAAGUGCAUUCGUGAUGGCGAGGGAGAUGAUAAAAGGUAAACAUUUGGAAUACUUAAUUGAAAUGGUUUUAUUAAUUUAGUCAAUAAUCUGACAUGGAGAGGAGCCCUAGUAUCAGCUUUACUCAUUUUGUGGUUAUUAGCAUGAAAAUAUUCUAACCUCAAUCUGUUUUGAUAUUCUAACCUCAAAUCUGUUUUGAUA
Molecule: long non-coding RNA, 1311 nt
Organism: Diospyros lotus (date-plum)
Lineage: Eukaryota; Viridiplantae; Streptophyta; Magnoliopsida; Ericales; Ebenaceae
Exons: 4
Source: RefSeq, a predicted model, not a curated record